CAGUUGAGCGCUGAAGGUUGGUACUUGUACCAACUGGAUGAGCAGCGAACGGGUGAGUAACGCGUGGGGAAUCUGCCUUUGAGCGGGGGACAACAUUUGGAAACGAAUGCUAAUACCGCAUAAAAACUUUAAACACAAGUUUUAAGUUUGAAAGAUGCAAUUGCAUCACUCAAAGAUGAUCCCGCGUUGUAUUAGCUAGUUGGUGAGGUAAAGGCUCACCAAGGCGAUGAUACAUAGCCGACCUGAGAGGGUGAUCGGCCACAUUGGGACUGAGACACGGCCCAAACUCCUACGGGAGGCAGCAGUAGGGAAUCUUCGGCAAUGGACGAAAGUCUGACCGAGCAACGCCGCGUGAGUGAAGAAGGUUUUCGGAUCGUAAAACUCUGUUGGUAGAGAAGAACGUUGGUGAGAGUGGAAAGCUCAUCAAGUGACGGUAACUACCCAGAAAGGGACGGCUAACUACGUGCCAGCAGCCGCGGUAAUACGUAGGUCCCGAGCGUUGUCCGGAUUUAUUGGGCGUAAAGCGAGCGCAGGUGGUUUAUUAAGUCUGGUGUAAAAGGCAGUGGCUCAACCAUUGUAUGCAUUGGAAACUGGUAGACUUGAGUGCAGGAGAGGAGAGUGGAAUU
RNAcentral lists this ribosomal RNA (626 nucleotides) under Lactococcus lactis subsp. lactis. RNAcentral's name for it is "bacterial SSU rRNA". It matches the Rfam family "Bacterial small subunit ribosomal RNA", at positions 59 to 668 of the family's 1533-position model. Lineage: Bacteria; Bacillati; Bacillota; Bacilli; Lactobacillales; Streptococcaceae. The record is from RNAcentral.